CAGGACUUAUGAAUUUCUUUGAUGAAUUUUUACCUUUUUUAUACGAUUCAAAUCCCAUCUACCAAUUUGUAUUUAAGUGAUGUUACUUUACAUGUGUGUUGAUACUCAGCAUCCUCCUCUACACAGACACACUGGCUGCCCUACUCCAGAAGGAGCUGUUUCUAAUUUAGUUCAUCUUUCUACCCUGACAACACGCAGGAGAGUCUGGAUCAUAUCAGUCAGUGAGUGCUUGAAUCAUUUGCUUCAUGAAAUUAAGGAAAGAAGAGAUAGAGGAAGGCUGAAGGCACAUUGUUCAAGUGAGGCUUCCUCUGUACCAAAGUAAAUACAAGGUAAUAAAUACCUUUAUGUCUAAACUGUCUUAAUUUUUUGCUCUAUUAAUCUGUUGAUCUUA
This 391-nucleotide long non-coding RNA is filed under the name Rattus norvegicus (Norway rat). RNAcentral describes it as "long non-coding RNA NONRATT032704". Lineage: Eukaryota; Metazoa; Chordata; Mammalia; Rodentia; Muridae. The record is from RNAcentral.